AAUUAAGGACAGCACAUUGUCCUUGUAAUGGGGAUCCAGCAGGGUGGCCACCCAGUAAUCAGCACAAGUUAGAAUGUGGGCAACUCGGCAGUCGUUGUGCAGGCACUUUGGUGACUCUAGAUAACCUUGGGCUGAUCGCACGUCCCCGUGACGGUGACGACGCAUUCGGAUGUCUGCCCUAUCAACUGUUGAUGGUACUUUCUUCGCCUACCAUGGUGACCACGGGUAAUGGGGAAAUCAGGGUUUGAUUCUG
Molecule: non-coding RNA, 253 nt
Organism: Pelobates cultripes (western spadefoot toad)
Lineage: Eukaryota; Metazoa; Chordata; Amphibia; Anura; Pelobatidae
Source: the annotation of a GenBank genome assembly